UACGUAGGGGGCAAGCGUUGUCCGGAAUCAUUGGGCGUAAAGAGCGUGUAGGCGGUCCGGUAAGUCGGCUGUGAAAGUCCAGGGCUCAACCCUGGGAUGCCGGUCGAUACUGCCGGACUAGAGUUCGGAAGAGGCGAGUGGAAUUCCCGGUGUAGCGGUGAAAUGCGCAGAUAUCAGGAGGAACACCGAUGGCGAAGGCAGGUCUCUGGGCCACUACUGACGCUGAGAAGCGAAAGCAUGGGGAGCGAACAGG
Molecule: ribosomal RNA, 253 nt
Filed under: uncultured bacterium
Lineage: Bacteria
Description: partial 16S ribosomal RNA
Rfam family: Bacterial small subunit ribosomal RNA
Source: RNAcentral